Molecule: small nucleolar RNA, 152 nt
Organism: Phyllostomus discolor (pale spear-nosed bat)
Lineage: Eukaryota; Metazoa; Chordata; Mammalia; Chiroptera; Phyllostomidae
Source: RefSeq, a predicted model, not a curated record
CCUGCACAUUAUUAGGGCUCGGAGUCGAGGCCACCGGUGGCUGAUGAACUCACAAGUGUAGACAGUGGGCUACAUGAGGGUCAAGUUUUUCACUAAUACCACAAGGGUCACUGACCCAAUGACUGAGUUCAAUAGUAAUCCUUGCUACAAUU